GCUGACAGGCAUCCCUGACGGUAUCUACAACCGUCCCACUCUGAUCCCUGAAGCAAAGAGCAGGGUAUAACCUUGCCAGUACUUACAUGGGAGACCACCGGGGACUACUGGUUGCUGUAGGCU
Ribosomal RNA from Rhinopithecus bieti (black snub-nosed monkey), 123 nucleotides. Lineage: Eukaryota; Metazoa; Chordata; Mammalia; Primates; Cercopithecidae. The record is from Ensembl.